AGAGUUUGAUCAUGGCUCAGGAUGAACGCUAGCGGCAGGCCUAAUACAUGCAAGCCGAACGGCAAGAAUUCUAGCAAUAGAGUUCCUAGAGUGGCGUAAGGGUGCGUAACACGUAUGCAAUCUGCCCUCAACAGGAGGAUAGCUCCCCGAAAGGGGAAUUAAGACUCCAUAAUAUAAUUGGAUGGCAUCAUUUGAUUAUUAAAGUACAAGCGGUUGAGGAUGAGCAUGCGCAUGAUUAGUUAGUUGGCGGUGUAAAGGACCACCAAGACGAUGAUCAUUAGGGGAACUGAGAGGUUGAUCCCCCACACUGGCACUGAGAUACGGGCCAGACUCCUACGGGAGGCAGCAGUAGGGAAUAUUGGACAAUGGGUGCAAGCCUGAUCCAGCCAUGCCGCGUGCAGGAAGAAAGCCUUCUGGGUUGUAAACUGCUUUUCUCUGGGGAUAAAAUGGCCAUGCGUGGUUAAUUGAAGGUACCAGAGGAAUAAGCCACGGCUAACUACGUGCCAGCAGCCGCGGUAAUACGUAGGUGGCAAGCGUUGUCCGGAUUUAUUGGGUUUAAAGGGUGCGUAGGCGGUCAAUUAAGUCAGUGGUGAAAUACGGCAGCUCAACUGUCGAGGUGCCAUUGAUACUGGUUGACUUGAGUACUGAUGAGGUAGGCGGAAUGGACGGUGUAGCGGUGAAAUGCUUAGAGAUCGUCCAGAACACCGAUAGCGAAGGCAGCUUACUAAGGAGUAACUGACGCUGAGGCACGAAAGUGUGGGGAUCAAACAGGAUUAGAUACCCUAGUAGUCC
Molecule: ribosomal RNA, 792 nt
Filed under: uncultured bacterium
Lineage: Bacteria
Description: bacterial SSU rRNA
Rfam family: Bacterial small subunit ribosomal RNA
Source: RNAcentral